Molecule: ribosomal RNA, 729 nt
Filed under: Piptocephalis sp. Sky0202
Lineage: Eukaryota; Fungi; Zoopagomycota; Zoopagomycetes; Zoopagales; Piptocephalidaceae
Description: eukaryotic LSU rRNA
Rfam family: Eukaryotic large subunit ribosomal RNA
Source: RNAcentral
GAAAAGAAACCAACAGGGAUUCCCCUAGUAACGGUGAGUGAAGCGGGAAGAGCUCAAAUUUGAAAUCGUGUCCGGGUGACCGGGUCACGAGUUGUAAUUUGAUGAGGUAAGCUUGGUGGGCGCCUGGGUCAAAAUCCUUUGGAAAAGGGUAUCAUAGAGGGUGACAAUCCCGUCUGUGACUCAGUCAGCGGUCCAUCGUGUAAGCUACCUUCAAAGAGUCGGGUUGUUUGGGAAUGCAGCCCUAAGCUGGUGGUAAAUUCCAUCUAGAGCUAAAUAUUCGUGAGAGACCGGUAGCGAACAAGUACCGUGAGGGAAAGUUGAAAAGCACUCUGGAGAGAGAGUCAAACAGCACGUGAAAUUGUUAACAGGGAAACGUUGGGCCCCAGUACGCGCCUCGCGUAAAAUCAACCAUCCCUUCCCCGAGGGUACCCGGUCCGGGUGGAUGAGCCUUAACGGGCCAUUGCUCGGUCGGUGCCCGAGGGGGGUGGUGCACUUUUGCGUGGGCGGGUCAACGUCAGUUAGGGCCGCCGGAGAAUCCUGGGGGGAAUGUUGGCGAAGGCAACGGACCCACUUACAGCCCCCCUUGAACGCGGUGACCUUGACUGAGGAGUCGCGACCCGGGACCGCCCGCCGGUACCCUCCCUCGUCCCCGGGGUAAGACAGCUUGCUGACUUGCCCUGGUCAGGCGGGGGACGGUGCCGGGGACACCCGGCCACGGACGUGCGAAUG